AUGCAUCACCAAGUGUCUGUGCUAGGAUCAGGCCGGGAGAAGAACAUGCCUUCGUGCUGUAUCAAAGGGGGAAAACUGUGCUCCAGAAGCGCAUUUUGCUUCUGCAGUGAAGUUUUCAUCUGUGAUAGCAGGAGAGGGAUCACUGGGAGGAGCCGGGAAGCAGCCGGGGCUGCCUUCACCCAACAACUGCCGGAGGAGCCGUCGGGAAAACUUUCCCUGAGAUGUGAAACGCUGCAGAGCUCAGGGCCGAGCCCGCACACCCCGGUGUGCCCCUCUGCCAUGGGCAGAAUCGGGGGACUCCAUGGGGGUGUCCAGAGCCCGGAGAGCCAGGAAACACCGCCAGGAGCAACGUGGGAGUGUGGGGCUUGGAACCUCGUCAAGCACAGAGUGUCAGUCGUGCACACUGAAGAACUCACACACAUCUCCCACCCCUCCCACCUCCCAGCUCCCCCUCACCUCUCGAACCCCCAAACCCGCAAAAUACAGAGAAACACCCCUCAAAACAUUUGUGCCCGCUCGCCUACACACCCCGCAGGCCCCCAAAACACUGUCCCCAUCACCCCACCCACCCCCCGGACUCUCAUGCCCAUGAAGUCCUGUGUCCCCCUCCCAGCCUCUCCCCGCUCCACACAGCCCCAUGCUGUCCCCCCGCAGCUCUCCCCGUGCUCCCCCCGGCUCUCCCCGUGCUCCCCCCGGUUCUCCCCCCGGUUCCCCCCGGCUCUCCCCCCGUUCAGCACCAUGGACAGAUCCCUGCCCGCUCCAUCACGUGGCUCCCGCCGCCCGUUUAUAGCGCGGGGCGCGGGCGGAGCGGCGCGUCCGGGAGGAGCGCAGCGAGCGGAGCGCCCGACAGCGGUGAGACUCGCACGGGCACCGGGACGGGCACCGGGACGGGCACCGGGACGGGCACCGGGACGGGCACCGGGACGGGCACCGCCACCCCCCGGGAGCCCCGGCACGAGUGAGGGGGAGGCCGAGCACGGGGACGAGAAGAGGAGAGGAGCACUGGUCCCGAGGAGAGGAGGGUCCUAUCCCGGGGUGUGGGGGAAGUGUUCCGUAGCGGGGGUCCCAGGUUCUGGAGGGUCCCAUCCCUGCUGCUGA
This 1098-nucleotide long non-coding RNA is filed under the name Parus major (Great Tit). RNAcentral's name for it is "lncRNA (ENSPMJG00000007154.1)". Lineage: Eukaryota; Metazoa; Chordata; Aves; Passeriformes; Paridae. The record is from RNAcentral.